ACGGAAGGCAGCAGUGGGGGAUAUUGCACAGUGGGGGAAACCCUGAUGCAGCGACGCCGCGUGAGCGAAGAAGUAUUUCGGUAUGUAAAGCUCUAUCAGCAGGGAAGAAAAUGACGGUACCUGACUAAGAAGCUCCGGCUAAAUACGUGCCAGCAGCCGCGGUAAUACGUAUGGUGCAGGCGUUAUCCGGAUUUACUGGGUGUAAAGGGAGCGUAGACGGCAUGGCAAGCCAGAUGUGGAAUGCGGGGGCUCAGCCCCUGAACUGCAUUUGGAACUGUCAAGCUAGAGUAUCGGAGAGGUAAGUGGAAUUCCUAGUGUAGCGGUGAAAUGCGUAGAUAUUAGGAGGAACACCAGUGGCGAAGGCGGCUUACUGGACGAUAACUGACGUUGAGGCUCGAAAGCGUGGGGAGCAAACAGGAUUAGAUACCCUGGUA
This 434-nucleotide ribosomal RNA is filed under the name uncultured bacterium. RNAcentral describes it as "partial 16S ribosomal RNA". It matches the Rfam family "Bacterial small subunit ribosomal RNA", at positions 341 to 792 of the family's 1533-position model. The record is from RNAcentral.